This 347-nucleotide RNase P RNA is filed under the name Mycoplasma bradburyae. Its description in RNAcentral is "RNase P RNA component class B". It matches the Rfam family "Bacterial RNase P class B". Rfam says of the family: Ribonuclease P (RNase P) is a ubiquitous endoribonuclease, found in archaea, bacteria and eukarya as well as chloroplasts and mitochondria. Its best characterised activity is the generation of mature 5'-ends of tRNAs by cleaving the 5'-leader elements of precursor-tRNAs. Cellular RNase Ps are ribonucleoproteins. Lineage: Bacteria; Bacillati; Mycoplasmatota; Mollicutes; Mycoplasmatales; Mycoplasmataceae. The record is from RNAcentral.
UGCUGCAGUUGGUUGCUGUUUAAUAAACAGAGGAAAGUCCAUGCUCGCACAAGCUGUGAUGCUUGUAGUGUUUGUGUAAAUAGAUAAAAAAUAAAAUUUAGCACAUUAGAAUUAGUGUGACGGCGAAACUUUUGCUAAGUUGUUUAUCAAUAUGUAACAAGUUUUAUAACGUGCCACAGAGACGAGUUGAUUUCGAAAGAAUCAAUAUGAAACGCGGUAAACCCCUCAAGCGAGAAACCUAAAUUUGGUAAGGGAACUAAUAAGUAAGAAACAGAAUUACUUAGAAGAAUAAAAUACAUUAUUUUAUUAGAUAAAUAACCAACCUCGACAGAACAUGGCUUAUCGCA